Molecule: ribosomal RNA, 1370 nt
Filed under: uncultured bacterium
Lineage: Bacteria
Description: bacterial SSU rRNA
Rfam family: Bacterial small subunit ribosomal RNA
Source: RNAcentral
AGAGUUUGAUCCUGGCUCAGGACGAACGCUGGCGGCGCGCCUAACACAUGCAAGUCGAACGAGCGAGAGAGAGCUUGCUUUCUCGAGCGAGUGGCGAACGGGUGAGUAACGCGUGAGGAACCUGCCUCAAAGAGGGGGACAACAGUUGGAAACGACUGCUAAUACCGCAUAAGCCCACGGGUCGGCAUCGACCAGAGGGAAAAGGAGCAAUCCGCUUUGAGAUGGCCUCGCGUCCGAUUAGCUAGUUGGUGAGGUAACGGCCCACCAAGGCGACGAUCGGUAGCCGGACUGAGAGGUUGAACGGCCACAUUGGGACUGAGACACGGCCCAGACUCCUACGGGAGGCAGCAGUGGGGAAUAUUGCACAAUGGGGGAAACCCUGAUGCAGCGACGCCGCGUGGAGGAAGAAGGUCUUCGGAUUGUAAACUCCUGUUGUUGGGGAAGAUAAUGACGGUACCCAACAAGGAAGUGACGGCUAACUACGUGCCAGCAGCCGCGGUAAAACGUAGGUCACAAGCGUUGUCCGGAAUUACUGGGUGUAAAGGGAGCGCAGGCGGGAAGACAAGUUGGAAGUGAAAUCUAUGGGCUCAACCCAUAAACUGCUUUCAAAACUGUUUUUCUUGAGUAGUGCAGAGGUAGGCGGAAUUCCCGGUGUAGCGGUGGAAUGCGUAGAUAUCGGGAGGAACACCAGUGGCGAAGGCGGCCUACUGGGCACCAACUGACGCUGAGGCUCGAAAGUGUGGGUAGCAAACAGGAUUAGAUACCCUGGUAGUCCACACCGUAAACGAUGAUUACUAGGUGUUGGAGGAUUGACCCCUUCAGUGCCGCAGUUAACACAAUAAGUAAUCCACCUGGGGAGUACGACCGCAAGGUUGAAACUCAAAGGAAUUGACGGGGGCCCGCACAAGCAGUGGAGUAUGUGGUUUAAUUCGACGCAACGCGAAGAACCUUACCAAGUCUUGACAUCCCUUGACAGGCAUAGAAAUAUGUUUUCUCUUCGGAGCAAGGAGACAGGUGGUGCAUGGUUGUCGUCAGCUCGUGUCGUGAGAUGUUGGGUUAAGUCCCGCAACGAGCGCAACCCUUAUGGUCAGUUACUACGCAAGAGGACUCUGGCCAGACUGCCGUUGACAAAACGGAGGAAGGUGGGGAUGACGUCAAAUCAUCAUGCCCUUUAUGACUUGGGCUACACACGUACUACAAUGGCGUUAAACAAAGAGAAGCAAGACCGCGAGGUGGAGCAAAACUCAGAAACAACGUCCCAGUUCGGACUGCAGGCUGCAACUCGCCUGCACGAAGUCGGAAUUGCUAGUAAUCGUGGAUCAGCAUGCCACGGUGAAUACGUUCCCGGGCCUUGCACUCACCGCCCGUCA